UUUUUGAAAAGAUCUAAGAAGCCCAAACAUUUUUAAAAAUGCAAAUUGGAUAGGAAAACUCCAACAAACACUUGUCCGUGGGGAGCAACGGACGGGCCAACAGGCACCCAGUAUGCAGUAUCGAAUGUUCUACUGUCGAUAGCUUGAUACUAUCGUUUAUUAAAUGUGCUACAAUCGAUAAUAGAACAAAGAAGGAAAGAAGACUAUAAGAAAUUCGAUAUUCGUACCGCUGUUCAAUACUCGAUUCUAUAACAGGGUUUUGCUUUUUUUCAUUUUUUGAAAAUGCUAUUGUUGUAUUGUAAUUUCUAACCUAAAAGCUAAACCAUAAUUACUUGAAGACUCAUCAUUAGGUCAUUAAAAUUGCAAAUAAAUAAAAAUAUUUUGCAAUUUUCCAUUAAAAUACUGAUUAAUUAAAAAUAAGUUUUAAAAAUAAUAAGAUUCACUGAGAUUUACAUCAUACAUUUAGAGUCGCAGUAUCUUCAAAGUGAUGGACCGCAUGAUGUACUUUUGCCAAGUGUUUCAAAAUUUCCAUAUCACCAAUUAAAGUUGAUAUUGUGUGGCACAAAAGUGAUGCAUCCACCUAUCAUCUGUUUUUAGCCAUCAUAAAUGAACAUAUUGAUUUCUUGCACAUCAUGAACGAGAGUGGAAUGCCAGGACCUCGCCGAUUUUUCAUGUAGCCGAGUUGCAAUCCUGGCUUUUUCUCCCGAUUCAUCUACCAUUGAAGACUCUCAAGUUUAUCACUUUCAUCACGAGCAAUUUCAAGAAGAAUAAUUCUCUCGAGUAUUGGAAUGUUUGUAUUGAUAAUCGCUGUCAGCACCCAAACAGGCAGCACCUCAUGUAUUAUUUUGAUUAAUAAAGUUACUUUUCGUGCAUAUAA
RNAcentral lists this unclassified non-coding RNA (877 nucleotides) under Nilaparvata lugens (brown planthopper). RNAcentral describes it as "uncharacterized LOC111051886, transcript variant X5". Lineage: Eukaryota; Metazoa; Arthropoda; Insecta; Hemiptera; Delphacidae. The record is from RNAcentral.